GUAGGUGGCAAGCGUUGUCCGGAAUUAUUGGGCGUAAAGCGCGCGCAGGCGGUUCUUUAAGUCUGAUGUGAAAGCCCACGGCUCAACCGUGGAGGGUCAUUGGAAACUGGAGAACUUGAGUACAGAAGAGGAAAGCGGAAUUCCAUGUGUAGCGGUGAAAUGCGUAGAGAUGUGGAGGAACACCAGUGGCGAAGGCGGCUUUCUGGUCUGUAACUGACGCUGAGGCGCGAAAGCGUGGGGGAGCAAACAGGAUUAGAUACCCUGGUAGUCCACGCCGUAAACGAUGAGUGCUAAGUGUUAGGGGGUUUCCGCCCCUUAGUGCUGCAGCUAACGCAUUAAGCACUCCGCCUGGGAGUACGGCCGCAAGGCUG
Molecule: ribosomal RNA, 371 nt
Filed under: uncultured organism
Description: partial 16S ribosomal RNA
Rfam family: Bacterial small subunit ribosomal RNA
Source: RNAcentral